GAUGAACGCUAGCGGCAGGCCUAAUACAUGCAAGGCGAAGGGCAGGCAAUGUCACUGUCGUACGGGUGCGUAACGCGUAUGCAACCUACCUAUCACAGGGGAAUAGCCUUUGGAAACAGGGAUUAAUACCGCAUAAAGCAGGGACACCGCAUGGUGAUAUUGCUAAAGAUUUAUCGGUGAUAGAUGGGCAUGCGUUCCAUUAGGUAGUUGGUGAGGUAACGGCUCACCAAGCCGACGAUGGAUAGGGGAACUGAGAGGUUGGUCCCCCACACUGGUACUGAGACACGGACCAGACUCCUACGGGAGGCAGCAGUGAGGGAAUAUUGGUCAAUGGGCGGGAGCCUGAACCAGCCAAGUCGCGUGAAGGAAGAAGGAUCUAUGGUUCGUAAACUUCUUUUGCAGGGGAAUAAAGUGCAGGACGUGUCCUGUUUUGUAUGUACCCUGAGAAUAGGAUCGGCUAACUCCGUG
RNAcentral lists this ribosomal RNA (468 nucleotides) under uncultured bacterium. RNAcentral describes it as "bacterial SSU rRNA". It matches the Rfam family "Bacterial small subunit ribosomal RNA", at positions 28 to 507 of the family's 1533-position model. The record is from RNAcentral.